Molecule: long non-coding RNA, 1478 nt
Filed under: Hordeum vulgare
Lineage: Eukaryota; Viridiplantae; Streptophyta; Magnoliopsida; Poales; Poaceae
Description: long non-coding RNA (HVUL_LNC005374)
Source: RNAcentral
AACAAUCCCACAGCUGCAAGAAAAAGGAACAAACAUUAGUCAUGUAUAAUUUUCCUUCCAUGCACUUCAACUAAUCAUAUAAGACAAAUAGUCUAACAAUCCCACAGCUGCAAGAAAAAGGAACAAACAUUAGUCAUGUAUAAUUUUCCUUCCAUGCACUUCAACUCAUCAAUCGAAUCAUCACACAAUGACGAUUUUUCGGAGAACUCCUUCACUAGGCAUGUAAGACGAGAAGAGUCUACCAACUCCACAACUUCAAUAACCUAAGCUAUCACCCAUAACACUAAGCUUGGCAAACUUCACAUAUAGACAACAACUCAUAAUUCUUACCCCCUUGCUUUGUUCUGUUCUUAGAUUUUUUUUAUGUAUUUUUUCCGUUUGUUUGCUGCUAGGCCUAGGAGUCUUUGUUUCUGUUUUUGGCUUGCUGUAUUUUUGUUACAUUGACGCCUUCAAUCUAACGAAAGACAAACAGUCGGUUGUAUGUCGGAAAAAAUACCAUAAUUCUUGAUUACGGUAUCAGCAGUCAGUGAAGCCCAUGCAUACAUGAAGUUCCUCUAGAACAGCUCGUUAAACAGUCUUUGAGCUUGUAACCCUUUUCAGGUUGAAGCUUAAGCCUCACCUAACAGCCCCCCAAACCCACAUUCUUCAUAAGUUUCCAUUGACCCAUAUGAUUGCAAAAACAAAUGUGAUCCCAGUUAGGGAAGAAAAAGGCAUAAAAGUAAUUGGUUACCAUGAAUUCAAGGCUACCUUGAUGACAACCAUGCGAUAUGAAAAAUACAGAAGGACAAACUUGUUUGGUAUUGCUGUGGAUUUUGAAACAUACUUACUUCCUAUAGAUUUUAACAUACUAGUUAGUUAAUAGCAUAUUUUUUGGAGUUACAACAACCAAAUCUUGCUAGAACUAAUAAGACUGGCAAGUCGAAAGCAUGUUUUUGGAUCUACAACAAGAAAAUCUGUCACUAACUAGAUUUUCCACAGCGCAGCACUGCAACACAAAAACUGGGCCAUAGAGGGUGGAUUACCUGACUGGACAUCGACCCAUGAUUGUUUGAUGCCCUCUUCUAUGGUAUCAAGUUGAUCUCUAAUGUACUGCAGCAUACAGAAAAUAACUGGAUCAUAAGAAAAUGACACUAAAAAUAGCGCAUGUUGUGACAAGAGUAAUGGAAGCGGUUCUAUUUAUCAAGAUUAAAAAUGCCGGUAAAAUUAUUAAACUUUUAUGAAGUCAUAACAUGAAAAUUAGGGAUGACAAGAGGGAUUGUUUGAGCGGGUAACGCUAUCCAAAACCUAGCAACAUAAGCCAGGUACUUGUCUGGCCCUCCUUUCAUAGACAACCGGUAUGGUACUAACCAGAAUGGUACUAAACUGGAUGUGCGACAUGCUGGAAAGGGUAUAGCUGGAUGUUCGUGGGCAGUGGGUUGCUAAGAGCUACUCUCUCCAUCCCAUAAUAUAAGAGCGUUUUUGACACUACACUAGUAUAA